AGAGUUUGAUUCUGGCUCAGGACGAACGCUGGCGGCGUGCUUAACACAUGCAAGUCGAGCGAUGAAGCUUCUUCGGAAGUGGAUUAGCGGCGGACGGGUGAGUAACACGUGGGUAACUUGCCUCAUAGAGGGGAAUAGCCUUCCGAAAGGAAGAUUAAUACCGCAUAAGAUUGUAAUAUCGUAUGAUAUAGCAAUUAAAGGAGUAAUCCGCUAUGAGAUGGACCCGCGUCGCAUUAGCUAGUUGGUGAGGUAACGGCUCACCAAGGCGACGAUGCGUAGCCGACCUGAGAGGGUGAUCGGCCACAUUGGGACUGAGACACGGCCCAGACUCCUACGGGAGGCAGCAGUGGGGAAUAUUGCACAAUGGGGGAAACCCUGAUGCCAGCAACGCCGCGUGAGUGAUGACGGCCUUCGGGUUGUAAAGCUCUGUCUUCAGGGACGAUAAUGACGGUACCUGAGGAGGAAGCCACGGCUAACUACGUGCCAGCCGCGGC
Molecule: ribosomal RNA, 494 nt
Filed under: uncultured bacterium
Lineage: Bacteria
Description: bacterial SSU rRNA
Rfam family: Bacterial small subunit ribosomal RNA
Source: RNAcentral